UAUUGGCUGUUCCGUGCGUGGGGAGCAGGAACCCUUGAGCCAACACCCAUAGCAAGGGAGCCAAGGCUGGCAGGGCCGGGUUAAGUAUAAACCCGAAACUGCUCAGGGCGGCACCCACCUGAAUUAUCAGGUCUCAAAGGGUGAGAUCCCGGCGGCGGAACGGCCUUCUC
This 170-nucleotide non-coding RNA is filed under the name Candidatus Omnitrophota bacterium. RNAcentral's name for it is "6S RNA". It matches the Rfam family "6S / SsrS RNA". From Rfam's summary of the family: E. coli 6S RNA was the first non coding RNA to be sequenced, but its function was unknown until recently. It consists of 184 nucleotides that fold into an extended hairpin structure with a large single-stranded internal bulge. Lineage: Bacteria; Pseudomonadati; Candidatus Omnitrophota. The record is from RNAcentral.